Molecule: ribosomal RNA, 408 nt
Filed under: uncultured bacterium
Lineage: Bacteria
Description: partial 16S ribosomal RNA
Rfam family: Bacterial small subunit ribosomal RNA
Source: RNAcentral
GACGAACGCUGGCGGCGUGCUUAACACAUGCAAGUCGAACGAGGUGGCGAACGGGUUAGUAAUACGUGGGUAUCCUGCUCUCCUUUUUGGGAUAAGCGUUGGCAACGGGGUCUAAUACCUACUAAUGGGGGAUGGGCGUGCGGCCUAACAGGGGGUGGGUGGGGUGAUGGCCUACCAAGGCGGUGACGGGUAGCCGGCCUGAGAGGGGCACCGGGAACGUUGGGAGGGCGAGACGGCUCAGGCAGGUACGAGAGGGGGCAGUGGGGUAUAGGGCGAAAGGCGGGAGAGGCUAAUGCGGGGGAGCGGCGAGGGGGAUGAGGGCUUUCGGGUUGUAAACCUCGGUCGCUAGCGAACGGGUAGCUGGAGAAGAAGCGCCGGCUAACUACGUGCCAGCAGCCGCGGUAAUUC